Molecule: ribosomal RNA, 504 nt
Filed under: uncultured bacterium
Lineage: Bacteria
Description: partial 16S ribosomal RNA
Rfam family: Bacterial small subunit ribosomal RNA
Source: RNAcentral
UAGGGAAUCUUCCACAAUGGACGCAAGUCUGAUGGAGCAACGCCGCGUGAGUGAAGAAGGUCUUCGGAUCGUAAAGCUCUGUUGUUGGUGAAGAAGGAUAGAGGCAGUAACUGGUCUUUAUUUGACGGUAAUCAACCAGAAAGUCACGGCUAACUACGUGCCAGCAGCCGCGGUAAUACGUGGGUGGCAAGCGUUGUCCGGAUUUAUUGGGCGUAAAGCGAGCGCAGGCGGAAUGAUAAGUCUGAUGUGAAAGCCCACGGCUCAACCGUGGAACUGCAUCGGAAACUGUCAUUCUUGAGUGCAGAAGAGGAGAGUGGAACUCCAUGUGUAGCGGUGGAAUGCGUAGAUAUAUGGAAGAACACCAGUGGCGAAGGCGGCUCUCUGGUCUGCAACUGACGCUGAGGCUCGAAAGCAUGGGUAGCGAACAGGAUUAGAUACCCUGGUAGUCCAUGCCGUAAACGAUGAGCGCUAGGUGUUGGGGACUUUCCGGUCCUCAGUGGCCGC